Molecule: non-coding RNA, 239 nt
Organism: Ciona intestinalis (vase tunicate)
Lineage: Eukaryota; Metazoa; Chordata; Ascidiacea; Phlebobranchia; Cionidae
Source: RefSeq, a predicted model, not a curated record
AAUUUAUGGUGUGGAGGAAACCACUAACGUAUUAUCCUGCUUGAAUACACUCGAUCAAAAGAAAAAGGUUCUUGAAAAGUUUUCUGAAACUGAAAAAAACAAUCACCUGAAACGAAUGCAGCAUCUGCGUGUUGCUUUAACAAAUAACUUGGCAAAAGCAAUUGUGUCUUAACUGGUUGUCUAAUCAUUCCCUUAUACUGCCUUUUGUAUAAUCUUUCAAUAAAAUACUUUGCAUUUGA